RNAcentral lists this transfer RNA (58 nucleotides) under Apaloderma vittatum (bar-tailed trogon). It matches the Rfam family "tRNA", at positions 8 to 63 of the family's 71-position model. Rfam says of the family: Transfer RNA (tRNA) molecules are approximately 80 nucleotides in length. Their secondary structure includes four short double-helical elements and three loops (D, anti-codon, and T loops). Further hydrogen bonds mediate the characteristic L-shaped molecular structure. tRNAs have two regions of fundamental functional importance: the anti-codon, which is responsible for specific mRNA codon recognition, and the 3' end, to which the tRNAs corresponding amino acid is attached (by aminoacyl-tRNA synthetases). tRNAs cope with the degeneracy of the genetic code in two manners: having more than one tRNA (with a specific anti-codon) for a particular amino acid; and 'wobble' base-pairing, i.e. permitting non-standard base-pairing at the 3rd anti-codon position. Lineage: Eukaryota; Metazoa; Chordata; Aves; Trogoniformes; Trogonidae. The record is from Rfam by way of RNAcentral.
UAGCUCAGUCGGUUGAGCAUGGUGCUGAUAACACCAAGGUCGCGGGUUCGAUUCCCAU